GAUGAACGCUGGCGGCGUGCCUAAUACAUGCAAGUCGAGCGAACGGACGAGAAGCUUGCUUUUCUGAUGUUUGCGGCGGACGGGGGAGUAACACGUGGAUAACCUCCCUAUAAGACUGGGAUAACUUCGGGAAACCGGAGAUAAUACCGGAUAAUAAUUUGAAAAGCAUGGUUCAAAAGUGAAAGACGGUCUUGCUGUCACUUAUAGAUGGAUCCGCGCUGCAUUAGCUAAUUGGUAAGGUAAAGGCUUACCAAGGCAACGAUGCAUAGCCGACCUGAGAGGGUGAUCGGCCACACUGGAACUGAGACACGGUCCAGACUCCUACGGGAGGCAGCAGUAGGGAAUCUUCGGCAAUGGGCGAAAGCCUGACGGAGCAACGCCGCGUGAGUGAUGAAGGUCUUCGGAUCGUAAAACUCUUUUAUUAGGGAAGAACAUAUGUGUAAGUAACUGGGCACAUCUUGACGGUACCUAAUCAGAAAGCCACGGCUAACUACGUG
Molecule: ribosomal RNA, 497 nt
Filed under: uncultured bacterium
Lineage: Bacteria
Description: partial 16S ribosomal RNA
Rfam family: Bacterial small subunit ribosomal RNA
Source: RNAcentral